This 319-nucleotide long non-coding RNA is filed under the name Crocodylus porosus (Australian saltwater crocodile). RNAcentral describes it as "lncRNA (ENSCPRG00005005228.1)". Lineage: Eukaryota; Metazoa; Chordata; Crocodylia; Crocodylidae. The record is from RNAcentral.
UUGCAGUCUCUGGCUCUCACCACAAGACUACACUGCCUCUUUUCCUCUCCAGUGACUCUUGCAUUUUCCUUUCUUCUUGUGCUUUCUCCUCACCCCAAUGAGCUCUAAGAGGAGGGAGCUAAUAAUACAGUUUAAGAAGGAGAGAUGGGACAGGCUUCUCUGUGCAGAUAAAGUGAGCGCUGUCUGGACAUCGGUGGGAAGAUUAGCUGUCUGGACUUCAGAUCCCUUCUUGACUCAUGGCAGUGCUCAGCAUCCUCUGUUCUUUGUUAAUGAUGUCGGGCUUGUCUGUAAGAGCAGCUCACAGGAGGAGGCAGCCAGG